CGGUUGGCGUACUUUGUACUCCCGUGUCUCAUUCGCCGUCUCGGGUCGGGAAGCGAAGGGCGAAACCGACCCACACGCGUGCUGGUGGGAGAGCAUGCGCGAUCGAGCGCCGAUCUCGGGAAGGCACGCCGGCUCCGGCGCCACGGCGUCCGGUGCCUUGUUCGUCGUGCCUGGUCCGCCGCGCGUUUGCCCUGGCUACCUACCUAUGUGGCUAUGUGGGCUGGCGGCGCUUUCUCACCACGUGUUCGAGGGAAUGCCACCGACAGGAGAACCGAGCGAAGGGAACGCCGGCACGCCGCAGCCUGCAACUGCAACUGCAGCAUUAGGGUUGACAGACUUCUUGGCCACCUCACACAAAUGGCUGUUCUGAAACUCUUGUGCAAAGUCUGUCACUGCAACCCUUCUUCUUCGGAUUCCAAGUCCAAUAAUACCCAUGAUGAAACUGAUAGGAUUUUGUGUCUGGAUGUACUGAGGCCCCCUUGGGAUUGCAGUGAAGUAUCCAAGUAUUUCAUGGAAGUUGAGUCCUACUGGGCCGAAGUAUGCUUGACAACCUUCUUGAGUUAGGAUGAUGACUUGAUGGAAGUAUGAAAGUGCCCGGGUGUUGGGGUGGCUAACUGUUGCAAUGACCGAUUUCCCGGGAAACCGCAAAACAAGAAGGCACAUACAUGUUGAGUUAGUUCUUGACCAGCUUGGCUUGCAGCACUAUGUCAACCAAUUGGUUGGGUCCCUGAGAGAUGGCACUAAAUUGAAGUGACUCACGUAUGGUGAGGUAUGGCUGAUGAGCAUCAAGCCGCUCUGCGUAGCCUACACUUUUUGAGAAAUCAGCAGAGGGUUUGGUGCUAUUGACUCGGAGAUAUCCAGUAAGACUGCCACCGGGAGGCAUCCUUCCUGCAAGGCACUUGAGAAGAGUGGUUGCGCUUCCAUUAGCACCCCCUACAAGAGCUAGCAUAGUUCCUGGUUUUGCAUAUCCAAUGAUAUCCUUAAAAUAUAAGGCUUCUUCCUGUUUAGCUUUCCCGCACCUGUUAUAAGAAAGCUUUGUUUUAUACGUCAUGUGAUAUGGAAUCAACCAAUUGAAGUGUAUUUUCUUCUUCGAAACUUUAUUGAUGUUAUAUCUACCUUCGUGAAGUUGCAUUUA
Molecule: RNA transcript, 1135 nt
Organism: Phragmites australis (common reed)
Lineage: Eukaryota; Viridiplantae; Streptophyta; Magnoliopsida; Poales; Poaceae
Exons: 2
Source: RefSeq, a predicted model, not a curated record